UGCUUUACACAUGCAAGUCGAACGGCAGCAUUGGUUUCGGCCAGAUGGCGAGUGGCGAACGGGUGAGUAAUACAUCGGAACGUGCCUAUUAGUGGGGGAUAACCAAUCGAAAGAUUGGCUAAUACCGCAUAAUCUCUGAGGAGGAAAGCUGGGGACUAGAGAUAGCCUGGCGCUGACAGAGCGGCCGAUGGUCGAUUAGCUAGUUGAGGGGGUAAGAGCCCACCAAGGCGAUGAUCGAUAGCUGUUCUGAGAGGAAGAUCAGCCACACUGGGACUGAGACACGGCCCAGACUCCUACGGGAGGCAGCAGCGGGGAAUUUUGGACAAUGGGGGGAACCCUGAUCCAGCAACGCCGCGUGAAUGAAGAAGGCCUUAGGGUUGUAAAGUAC
This 388-nucleotide ribosomal RNA is filed under the name uncultured organism. Its description in RNAcentral is "bacterial SSU rRNA". It matches the Rfam family "Bacterial small subunit ribosomal RNA", at positions 45 to 433 of the family's 1533-position model. The record is from RNAcentral.